UACGUAGGGUGCAAGCGUUAUUCGGAAUCACUGGGCGUAAAGGGCGCGCAGGCGGUUUUGUACGUCUAAAGUGAAAUCCUUGGGCUUAACCCAAGGGCUGCUUUAGAUACUCCAAAACUCGAGUUCGGGAAAAGCAAGCGGAAUUCCUGGUGAAGGGGUGAAAUCCGUAGAUAUCAGGAAGAACACCAGUGGCGAAAGCGGCUUGCUAGAACGCAACUGAAGCUUAGGCGCGAAAGCGUGGGGAGCAAACAGG
This 253-nucleotide ribosomal RNA is filed under the name uncultured bacterium. RNAcentral's name for it is "partial 16S ribosomal RNA". It matches the Rfam family "Bacterial small subunit ribosomal RNA", at positions 524 to 776 of the family's 1533-position model. The record is from RNAcentral.